This 497-nucleotide ribosomal RNA is filed under the name uncultured bacterium. RNAcentral's name for it is "partial 16S ribosomal RNA". It matches the Rfam family "Bacterial small subunit ribosomal RNA", at positions 28 to 507 of the family's 1533-position model. The record is from RNAcentral.
GAUGAACGCUGGCGGCGUGCCUAAUACAUGCAAGUAGAACGCUGAAGCUUGGUGCUUGCCCCGAGCGGAUGAGUUGCGAACGGGUGAGUAACGCGUAGGUAACCUGCCUCUUAGCGGGGGAUAACUAUUGGAAACGAUAGCUAAUACCGCAUAAAAGUCGAUAUCGCAUGAUAUUGAUUUGAAAGGUGCAAAUGCAUCACUAAGAGAUGGACCUGCGUUGUAUUAGCUAGUUGGUGAGGUAACGGCUCACCAAGGCGACGAUACAUAGCCGACCUGAGAGGGUGAUCGGCCACACUGGGACUGAGACACGGCCCAGACUCCUACGGGAGGCAGCAGUAGGGAAUCUUCGGCAAUGGGGGCAACCCUGACCGAGCAACGCCGCGUGAGUGAAGAAGGGUUUCGGAUCGUAAAGCUCUGUUGUAAGAGAAGAACGAGUGUGAGAGUGGAAAGUUCACACUGUGACGGUAACUUACCAGAAAGGGACGGCUAACUACGUG